UUUUCUAACAAUUUCAAACGAACUCUAUUUCCAAUUCUUUCCAUUUCAACUCUAAUCACUCCUCUUAAUCCCCGGCGCACCAACAUUAAUUUCAUUCUAGCAAUGUUGUCGUUUUCAACCAAAAAGUUUCAGAGGUACUAUGCUUCUUCUAUCCCUCUUUUUCAACUUCCAAACCCUAAUUUCAUUCGUUCUUCAACAAUGUUAUACUCUCAAUUACACAACCAACAUGAAGAUCAUGAUAAUCUUGUUUCUUCAUUCAAUCACUUGUUACAUCAGAAUCCAACCCCACCCAUCUUCCAUUUUAAUAAGAUUUUAGGUUCUCUUGUUAAGUCCAAUCAUUACUAUACUGUUAUUUCACUUCAUCGUCAUAUGGAAUUAAAUGGAAUUGCUUCAGAUUUAGUCACUUUGAGCAUCUUGAUCAAUUGCUUUUCUCAAUUGGGUUUAAACUCUCUUUCCUUUUCUGUAUUUGCCAACAUUCUCAAAAAGGGUUAUGACCCAGAUGUCAUAACUUUGACCACACUCAUCAAGGGUUAUUGCCUCAAAGGUGAGAUCCAUAAAGCUUUGCACUUUCACGACAAGGUGGUAGCGCAGGGGUUCCAGUUGAACCAAGUUAGUUAUGGGACCUUAAUCAACGGGUUAUGUAAAGUAGGAGAAACAAGUGCAGCCUUGCAGUUGCUGAGACGAGUUGAUGGGAAACUGGUUCGACCUAAUGUGGUAAUGUACACUGCAAUUAUUGACAGUAUGUGCAAAGAUAAACUUGUUGAUGAUGCUUUUCAUUUAUAUUCUGAAAUGGUCGCUAAGAGAAUUUAUCCCAAUGUUUUUACUUACAAUGCUUUGAUUAAUGGCUUUUGCAUUGUUGGUAAAUUGAAAGAAGCAAUUGAUCUGUUUAAUAAAAUGAUAUUGGAAAACAUCAACCCUGAUGUGUAUACCUUCAAUAUAUUGGUUGAUGCAUUUUGUAAGGAAGGAAAAGUGAAAGAAGCUAAUAAUGUGUUUGCUAUGAUGAUCAGAAAAGGUGUUAAACCUGAUGUUAUUACUUAUAACUCGUUAAUGGAUGGAUAUUGCUUAGUUAAACAAGUGAACAAGGCCAAGGGUAUAUUCAAUAUCAUGGCCCAAAGUGGAGUGACUCCUGAAGUUUGGAGCUAUAGUAUUAUGAUUAAUGGAUUUUGUAAGGUUAAUAUGGUGGAUGAAGCCUUAAUUCUCUUCAAAGAAAUGCGUUGUAGAAACAUUAUUCCUAAUGUAGUAACUUACAAUUCCCUUAUUGAUGGUUUGGGCAAAUCAGGGAGAAUCUCACAUGCUUUGAAGCUUGUCGAUGAGAUGCAUGAUAGAGGUUUACCACCUAAUAUAAUUACUUACAAUUCUAUAUUUGACGCUUUAUGCAAAAACCAUCAUGUUGAAAAGGCAAUUGCAUUAUUAACAAAAGUUAAGGUCGAGGGCAUUCAACCAAAUAUGAACACAUAUACUAUUCUUAUUCACGGAUUGUGUAAAGUUGGAAGAGUAGAGGACGCGAGAAAUGUUUUUGAAGAUCUUUCAGUCAAAGGCUACAAUCUACACGUUUAUACAUAUAAUGUUAUGGUCCAAGGGUUUUGCGACAAGGGCUUGUUUGAUGAAGCGUUGGCCUUGCUAUCAAAAAUGAAAGACAAUAGUUGCAUUCCAGACGCUGUAACUUAUGAAAUAAUUAUCCAUUCUCUGUUUCGUAAAGGUGAAAAUGAUAAAGCAGAGAAAUUUCUACGUGAAAUGAUCGCAAGAGGUCUACUGUAAGAUUGAAACUAGGAAGCAUGACUCUAGGAACACAACUUAUUGAUUAGAUCUGGCUACAACAACUUUGAUAGCUUUUAUAUCAGGAAUUAGUAAUGUUGUAAAAUAGAAACUUUUGGCUACUCUGGAUAGUGAAUUGGGACUGGGGGUUUAAGUGAAACUUCGACUUUGUGUUUUCGACCUUUUGCAUGGUAACUGACUAACUGUAUUGAUCACUUGUCCUUUAUAUGAAUUAGUUUACUGACCCAAAGUUAUAUGGUGUUUUGGUUAACUGUGUGAAUUAAAAUCUUUGCAUUGUAUAUAGUUGUAAUAUCCCAAAAAUUUAGUAAAUGAGAAAUACUCAUGUAUUAGUAUAACCUUAUAUUAGGAUAGGAAUUUAACCAAGGAUAGAUUAGUAAACCCAUAAAAUUAGUAAGGGCAAAUUAAAAAUUUCUAGAAGUGUUAACUUAUUACCAAUUAAGUAACCUAAAUUGAGUUGUAAUGCACUAGUGGCAUAGAGGAAUUAGCUAGAAGCUUAAGAGUGAGAUGUAUUUAGUGAGAUAAGUGUAUAUACAAAAUUAUUGUAUGAGUUUUGGAGAAGGAUAUAUAUAAAUAAAUAAAUAAACUAUAAAAGCUAAGGAUAAAACAAAGCUUUCUCUCUAGAAACAUACACACGUAAGUCUUCUUCUCUCCCUUUGCUAUGGCAUCGCCGAACAAAGAACAACACACAAUCUUAGGGCCAAAAAUUUUCCUCUUCCAUUUCUAGCAUCUCGACCCUAUUUCAUGCCAAGUUCUUACUUAUAUUCACUUUAUUGGACGAGAAGGAGACUGAAAUUUUACCAGAAUAAAGCGAGGAGCAAGGUUUAAGGUAGUUUGUGGAAAAUUGAAGAAGUUCAAAAUUCUCUCUUUUUCCAUCAAUUUCUUGUUUUGUGAUCAAAUUAACAAGAUAUAUAUUGGACUGAAAAGUAGAGAAACAACUGAAUCUAUCAACCUUAACAAAGAAAUAGACAGAGAGCUUGAGCAACAUGUUUUGUGCCAUUGAUCACUAAUCUGUUUGGUUGGGGGAUUUUUGAAGGGGAGUGGAUAUAUAAUAUUUUAAAUGAAGUGUAUUUGAUUCAAUUUUUUAGGAGGGGAGGGAAUCAAAAUUCCUCAUAGGGAAAUUUCUGGUUCCCCAAAUUGGAGGAUGUUAAAAAAUAAUUUAUUAUAUGGACAAACUUAAUUGCAUUUAAUUUUUUUUUGUUAAAAUCCUAAA
Trifolium pratense (red clover) is the source of this 2986-nucleotide RNA transcript. It is a transcript of the gene named pentatricopeptide repeat-containing protein At1g12300, mitochondrial-like, with no coding region annotated. The transcript is spliced from 3 exons. NCBI's taxonomy places the organism in Eukaryota, Viridiplantae, Streptophyta, Magnoliopsida, Fabales, Fabaceae. The record is from RefSeq and is a predicted model, not a curated record.